AAUAAGUUCAUUUAUACUGUUUCUAUAUUUAACGUUUGAUUGUCCGUCUUAUUUAAAAUUUUUAUUAUGGUUAAUAUUUUUAUUAUUAUUUGAUAAUAAAAUAUUAAUAAUACUUAUAUGGCUUUUACCUUUUUAAUUAUUUAAAUAAGAUUGACAGUCAGACGUUGAACCAAAGAAACUUAUAAAUGAACUUAUU
Non-coding RNA from Oryza glaberrima (African rice), 196 nucleotides. The record is from Rfam. NCBI's taxonomy places the organism in Eukaryota, Viridiplantae, Streptophyta, Magnoliopsida, Poales, Poaceae.